Molecule: long non-coding RNA, 2719 nt
Filed under: Triticum aestivum (bread wheat)
Lineage: Eukaryota; Viridiplantae; Streptophyta; Magnoliopsida; Poales; Poaceae
Description: long non-coding RNA (TAES_LNC017720)
Source: RNAcentral
UUUGAAAGCCUAUUUAGCGUUGUAAUUAUUUUAUCUUAUCUAAUAUAAGUAGGUAGUUGCCAUGGAAAUACUUAUGAAUAUUAUAUUCUUAAAAAGGGAAGACCUUGUUUUGUUCUUUUUUAGAUGGUUAUUUUGUUCUUUCUAAUAUAAAUAGGUAGUGGCUCGACAAAAAAUUUAAUCAGGCAUUAAAAAUAUAAAUUUUAAAACAAUUGUUUUUGUUUGGCAGUGUAUAUGCUGAAAACUUCAAUUGGGCGCUCGUGAGCUAAUUUUGUUUCGUUCUAUCUCAAUAGUUAAAAUGGAAAUAGGAGAGUCGAUGACAUCUUACUUUUUUUUUAUUCUUAUCUAUAAACAGACUGGGCAAAAAACUUGAGGCGCUCGUGAGGUCAUAUUGUUUCGUUCUAUCAAUAAAAACUAAAAAUAAGACAGGAGAGUCGAUCUGUCGAUGCCAAAAGGAUUAUUACAGGAGUCAGAACCGGCAUUAGGAAAGAGUACGGACGCUAUGCAAAUCGUGCUAUCAUAUCCUUGGACUAUAUGUUGCCAUUAGGAAAGACUUUGGACGCUAUACAAAUCAUGAUAUCAUAUUCUUGGACUACACGCCUGGGCGUGUGUGACUAUAUCUGUAGUUUUUUUUUAGAGAGACUAUAUCUGUAGGUUAGUUAUUUCUUCCCGGGGCAUAUGUGACUCAAUCUGAUCGUCUUCUCGGUUCUAGCUGGCCGCGUUACACGGCGGGGAGAAGCAGGACGGCGAUAGCCGAAGCACGGCACAGAUCGCUUCCGGCUAGCUGUUGCCAAUUGAAGUAAGUGCAUCCACUCCCCUGUACCACCUCAGACGGUCCAUCCGGCUACCAUAUCGACAUAUCGUACGAGGCGUUACAGCGCCGCCGCAUCGCACCAGCUACCACACCGCUCCUCCGCCUCUCCCUCUUACCUCCAUUCUUCCACCACAGGCAUCGGAUUUGCUCGUCGACGACGGGGACAACGUCGCUCAUCCUCAACCUGUCCCCAACUGGCCACCGUCCCGUCACCAACUGUGCUCAGAAUUUGCAGUAUCUAUCCAUCACCUGACGAAUGCGCAGAGUUUAGACUUGCCAGUGCUCCCGGCUUGGCCCCAACUCCCAAAGCAUCGAUCGAGCCAACCCCUGCAAGGUAAAUUGUGUGAACAACUGAACUGUUACUUCUGCUGUUGUAUUGUGUGUACGAAUGUUACUAUGAUGUAGCAUAGAUAGAUGCAUGGUUUUGCAAUGACAGUGAGAAUAUAUAUGUUUUUGUAUAAGACAUCCACAAGUCAGUGGCCUUUGGAAACCAAGCAUAUAUGCUGUACUUAGGAAAGACAAUGUUUAGGAGGUUGCCUGAGUAUAUGUUCUCAUCAAUCUUGAAGGGGUUAAAUUUGUGCCCGUUUUGUUAUUUCAGUUUAGUAGUGGGUUCACUAGUUGUGUUAGUAGUAGAUUUUGCUUCAAUGCGGUGUAAGCAUAAUUUUGCUAACGGUAAACUAUUUUGUUGUAGUGCACUGUGAUGUGGACCCUUGCUCUGAGCCAUUGAAAAAUAAAAUUGGGUUUGUUGGGCACCGAAGAUUUCUGCCUACCAAGCAUGGAGAAAGGUCGGUCUUUUUGUUUUGUGGUGAUUGGUUUGAUCUCCAUGGCAAGGCGACCGGCAUGAAAGAUGAUGGUUACUUCAAAAGUCUUAAUGUUAAGGUGCUUCAAUACAAGAAGGAUACUUUCAUCUUGGCUUCUCAAGCAGAACAAGUGUUUUUACAUGGAGGACACAAAAUAUGGAAAUGACUGGAAUGUGGUGCAGACUUUCAGUCAUAGACAUUUGUACGAUGUUCCUGAACUAGAGACAGGCGAGCUCAAUGCUACAGAUGCAUACCAGGAAGAAAUGCCCUCGACAACUUGCACUGUGAAGGAUAUUGAUCAAUUGUUCGACACUUAUAGCCAUGAUGAUGAAGAAGGCACGCCUGUUCAUGCUAGUAUUGUUCACGAUCUUCUCAAAGAUGACAACAAUUAUGAUGAAGAUAGUGGUACUGACGAUGAUGGACAGGAAGAUGGUGCAUUGAGCGAGAAUGAGCAUUCAAGUGAUGAUGAGUAGAUUGUGUAAUGCCUAGUUGUAUUUUACCAAAGUUUAGCUCUUUUAAGUUUUUUAUAUGUUCAUGUUCACAUAAUACAGUAGAGAACAUGGUUCAGAUUUGAGACAUACAUGGGUGAUUUGGUCAGUACUUACAGGUAAUUGGACUCGUAGAUAGUUUUACUUGACAUCUAACUGAUACGUGUGUGCAAAAGUGCAGUACUGAACAUGGCGAUUGAUCAAGCACUCACCCUGCUGCCCUCUUUGCACGCGUGUUCCCCUUUGCACGCGCCUGCUGAAGAACCACCGAGACCCGAUCCUUCUCCUCUCGCGCGACCACUCCCGACUUCUCCCCUGCACCGCGUGCAUCCUCAAGCACCGCCUGGGCCCCCGCAGAACGGCUGGAGGAAGAAGCCGCGCCGUGGGAGCAGCGGGGGAAGGGACCGCCACUGUGCUUCGGACAGCACGCUGUUGCGGAACCGCCGCCGGCGAAGCAGGCGCCCCUGCAGCUCGAGCAGCAAGCAGAGGGGCGAGGGCGCUCGGCCGGAACGGCGCUCUUUGGGAGCCACCGGCGGCGAGGUGCGGCAGCGGGUCGUCUUGGCCUUCACGCGGGGUGCGGCGUGAUUUGGGGAAUUUUUGUGGAUAACGACAUGGAGGAG